RNAcentral lists this ribosomal RNA (1447 nucleotides) under uncultured bacterium. Its description in RNAcentral is "bacterial SSU rRNA". It matches the Rfam family "Bacterial small subunit ribosomal RNA". The record is from RNAcentral.
AGAGUUUGAUCCUGGCUCAGGAUGAACGCUGGCGGCGUACUUAACACAUGCAAGUCGAACGAACCUUCGGGUUAGUGGCGGACGGGUGAGUAACGCGUGAGAAUCUGCCCUCAGGAGGGGGACAACAGCUGGAAACGGCUGCUAAUACCCCAUAUGCCGCGAGGUGAAAUGAAUUUCGCCUGAGGAUGAGCUCGCGUCUGAUUAGCUAGUUGGUGUAGGUAAUGGCUCACCAAGGCAUCGAUCAGUAGCUGGUCUGAGAGGAUGAUCAGCCACACUGGGACUGAGACACGGCCCAGACUCCUACGGGAGGCAGCAGUGGGGAAUUUUCCGCAAUGGGCGAAAGCCUGACGGAGCAACGCCGCGUGAGGGAUGAAGGCCUCUGGGCUGUAAACCUCUUUUAUCAAGGAAGAAGAUCUGACGGUACUUGAUGAAUAAGCCACGGCUAAUUCCGUGCCAGCAGCCGCGGUAAUACGGGAGUGGCAAGCGUUAUCCGGAAUUAUUGGGCGUAAAGCGUCCGCAGGCGGCCCUUCAAGUCUGCUGUUAAAAAGUGGAGCUUAACUCCAUCAUGGCAGUGGAAACUGUUGGGCUUGAGUGUGGUAGGGGCAGAGGGAAUUCCCGGUGUAGCGGUGAAAUGCGUAGAUAUCGGGAAGAACACCAGUGGCGAAGGCGCUCUGCUGGGCCAUCACUGACGCUCAUGGACGAAAGCCAGGGGAGCGAAAGGGAUUAGAUACCCCUGUAGUCCUGGCCGUAAACGAUGAACACUAGGUGUCGGGGGAAUCGACCCCCUCGGUGUCGUAGCCAACGCGUUAAGUGUUCCGCCUGGGGAGUACGCACGCAAGUGUGAAACUCAAAGGAAUUGACGGGGGCCCGCACAAGCGGUGGAGUAUGUGGUUUAAUUCGAUGCAACGCGAAGAACCUUACCAGGGUUUGACAUCCUGCGAAUCUCUUGGAAACAGGAGAGUGCCUUCGGGAACGCAGUGACAGGUGGUGCAUGGCUGUCGUCAGCUCGUGUUGUGAGAUGUUGGGUUAAGUCCCGCAACGAGCGCAACCCACGUCUUUAGUUGCCAGCAUUUAGUUGGGCACUCUAGAGAGACUGCCGGUGAUAAACCGGAGGAAGGUGUGGAUGACGUCAAGUCAUCAUGCCCCUUACAUCCUGGGCUACACACGUACUACAAUGCUACGGACAAAGGGCAGCAAGUUCGCGAGGACAAGCAAAUCCCAUAAACCGUGGCUCAGUUCAGAUCGUAGGCUGCAACUCGCCUACGUGAAGGCGGAAUCGCUAGUAAUCGCAGGUCAGCAUACUGCGGUGAAUACGUUCCCGGGCCUUGUACACACCGCCCGUCACACCAUGGAAGUUGGCCACGCCCGAAGCCGUUACUCCAACCCUUGUGGAGGAGGACGUCGAAGGUGGGGCUGAUGACUGGGGUGAAGUCGUAACAAGGUAACC